CUGUCUAAGAUGCAGUGGAAGGAGACAGAGCAGAAGGAGGUGAAGCAGCACGUUUGCACAUGGACCUACCUGGGCACCAAGCAGUCAUCCGUAGGCUACAGAGCCAAACCUGUAGAGCCAACUAUUGCAGAAGAGGCUGGAGCAGCAGGCAGCAGAGAGGAGGCAGCAGCAGAGAGGAGGCAGCAGCAGAGAGGAGGCAGCAGCAGAGAGGAGGCAGCAGCAGAGAGGAAACAGAAGCAGAGGAAGCAGCAGAUCCUCGAUGAGCGAUCCAGAAAGGACAUAGAGCAGCUGCAAGAGACAAACACCAAAUUACAUCACACACACACACACACACACACACACACACACACACACACACACACACACACACACACACACACACACACACACACACACACACACACACACACACACACACACACAGAACAGAACGCCCUGAGUAUGGAGCUGCUCAGCUGUCCCUCGACAAUCAGCACAAAGGGCAUCCAACCUGAAGACUUCACAGAUGAAAGCCCCAUCCACAGAGAGAUGCCUCUCAAAGUGUUGCCUACUGCGGAUCAAAACAUCAUGGCAGCAGGACCUUACAUAAUAAGAGUUCUGGGAACCCAAGUCACCAAUAAAUCAGAUUGUCACAACGAUGGAUCUCGAUUCCCUCAUCGCCUUGACCAUCAGGACCGAUGGGCGACUACAGGAACGACGGAGGGAGAAGAGAUUAGAUUUCACUCACCCGUCCAAGGAUUCCACCUCGCCUCCGAAGCAUCCCGAAAGUCCCCGAUGGCCCCGUUGCCGAGAGAACCUGAGGCGACCCGAGGUUCCCCAAGAGUCGCCGAAGACGGCCAAGUCACCUUUUCCCGAGCCAAUGCAACUAGGAAGAGAUGGGCAGAACGGCUAUACAGGCUCAACACAAAGAGUUGAGUUGCCUGUAUUGUGAGCAUGAUGAGAAAAAUGGGUCUUACAGUUUCAUUAUCCUUAUAGAGUAGGAUAUAUAAUAGGAUAAAUACUCAGAAACAGGGGUAUUGUCAAGCAGUUGACCACUGUAGAAACAUAACACAGUGUUGGAUGCCAUUUCUGCCCCAUGGAUCCCCUUUUCUACCUGACUUGUCAACUGAUAUAGUACUACCUGUCUCUGCUUGAAAUCCAUUAGCUUACAGGGUAUCAAUGAAAUUCAGAUAAUAUGUUGUUUUAUAAUCUGGGUGGUUUGAGCCCUGAAUGCUGAUUGGCUGACAGCCGUGGUAUAUCAGACCGUGUAUGACAAAACAUGUAUUUUUACUGCUCUAAUUACGUUGGUAACCAGAUUAUAAUAGCAAUAAGGCACCUCGGGGGUUUGUGGUAUAUGGCCAAUGUACCACGGCUAAGGGCUGUGUCUAGGCACUUCACGUUGUGUCGUGCUAAAAGAACAGCCCUUAGCCGUCGUAUAUAGCCCGUAUACGACAACUCCUCGGGCCUUAUUGCUUAAAUAUACAACGCAGGUAUUUCAGCAGUGCAUUAUACACUACACUAUAAUCCCAAAUGCUGGCACAUAGGACAAAGUGGAAAGAGUCACUCUAUUGAAGCACACUGGCUGAUGGAGAAUGAUGCUGUAGUAUUUACAGCCACAUCCGUAUAUAUGAUUUGGUUGUACCUUCCAACAUCAAUUGUCAAAUUGAUACAAUUAUGAGGUCAAAAUAUAGAAAUGUAAUCUUCAGCAGUUCUCAAACUAUACGUUACAGUGACUAGGCAGGCACUACAUCAUUUUGGUUCAGUAGUUAUCAGCUUUGAGCAGUUUGAUUUGUAUUUGUAUUUAUUAUGGAUCCCCAUUAGUUCCUGCCAAAGCAGCAGCUACACUUCCUGGGGUUUAUUAUAGAUCCCUAUUAGUUCCUGCCAAAGCAGCAGCUACACUUCCUGGGGUUUAUUAUAGAUCCCCAUUAGUUCCUGCCAAAGCAGCAGCUACACUUCCUG
Long non-coding RNA from Oncorhynchus tshawytscha (Chinook salmon), 1938 nucleotides. NCBI's taxonomy places the organism in Eukaryota, Metazoa, Chordata, Actinopteri, Salmoniformes, Salmonidae. The record is from Ensembl.